GCCUUCGUGGUGUGAUGGUCAGCACACUGAGCCGGUAUUUCAGAGGUCCGUGGUUCGAUCCCCGGCGAAGGCG
Stegodyphus mimosarum is the source of this 73-nucleotide non-coding RNA. The record is from Rfam. NCBI's taxonomy places the organism in Eukaryota, Metazoa, Arthropoda, Arachnida, Araneae, Eresidae.